Molecule: long non-coding RNA, 236 nt
Filed under: Salvia miltiorrhiza (redroot sage)
Lineage: Eukaryota; Viridiplantae; Streptophyta; Magnoliopsida; Lamiales; Lamiaceae
Description: long non-coding RNA (SMIL_LNC010835)
Source: RNAcentral
UAAAGUAUUGAAGGUAAGGAGUUUAUGUGACCUCUGCUGUGUCUGGUAAAGUUAUCCUUAUUCUAUCUUUCUUUUUCGGAUGAUGUUUGGCCGGUAAACCCAUCGGGGAUUCUCUGUUAAAUAUGUUUAAGCACUGGUCAGGAGGUGUUUAUAUGGGGUAACCAUUGCGUUUUUCCCGGUUGUUGAGUGAUGGGAGGUUGUUUAAAUUCUUUCUUUCCCCUUGAGCUCUAAUAUUU